This 490-nucleotide long non-coding RNA is filed under the name Capsella rubella. RNAcentral describes it as "long non-coding RNA (CRUB_LNC003625)". Lineage: Eukaryota; Viridiplantae; Streptophyta; Magnoliopsida; Brassicales; Brassicaceae. The record is from RNAcentral.
UGAAACGUAAAAGAUAAUAUAUUCAAACAAAUUGGUAUAAAAUAUUUAAAUUCCGAGAUCGGGCAGAUUCUGUGGCCCGAGGGUGGAAAACAAAAACCCAAUCCAUUAUCCAUGGCGUGAAGACAGAUGUAGCUGUCGUAAAAGAAUGCAAUUAAUUUAAAAGUAACAAGAAUUAAUUAGUGUAAACAUAAUAUUAAAACAAGGUUUAUAUGAAUAAAUAAAUCCAUCUUAAUUUGGUGCCGUCAAUGUUAAAUAUUUACCGUCCGUCUUUUAGGAAACAAAACAAACGGCGGGCCCACCGCCGUUAGAAUCUCUCUCUGUUAGCCGACGCGGCCACCAUUCUCUCUCCUCUUGUCUCCCCAUCUCUCUCCGUAAUCAUUCUCCACGCGUCGCGUUGACCACGUGGCACUAUACAUCUUUUAAACAAACAAAAAGAUAAAUGAAAACUUCUUUAGAAAUUUUAUAAUUUAAUUAAAUAACGAGUGCGUUG